This is a non-coding RNA of Phoenix dactylifera (date palm), 2490 nucleotides long. Lineage: Eukaryota; Viridiplantae; Streptophyta; Magnoliopsida; Arecales; Arecaceae. The record is from RefSeq and is a predicted model, not a curated record.
AUGGAUCUCAAAGCCAUCGAUAUUCUCGGUAUUGCUUUUGGAUAGGGUAGAGAGAUCGAGAGACAUCAGAGAAGAGAGUGGGAUUAUGCUCCUUGGCUUCUUGAAGAAUGCUAUUCCACUAGUUUAAGGUUUUCUUUAAAGUUUUGGAUCCAAGGUUGAAGGAAAUCAAUUACAAGAGAAAGAAGAAGAGAAAAAUAUAUAAGAAGAAGAAAAGAAUAAAAGGCACAAGAGAAAUAGUAAUAUUAGGGAUCGACGAUAACAAAGCAAAAAACAUAUAAAUCAACAUUUUGGAUAGUCAUAUUUUCUCUCUCUCUCUCAAAAAAAAAAAAAUUGCCGAGAAACCUCUAAGUUUUAAGGGAAGGAGCUUACCUUUGAAAACAUGGUUAUUUUUGGUAUUAUUCAGAAUUUUUCAAGAUUUCAAAACUUUCUCACCAUCAUCAUUCUUGGCAAUCCUUGCCGAUGAGAGGGUUGAAGAUCUUGGCUAAAAAAAGAGUGGGAGGAGGGGCAGAGUAGAAAUGAGAACAUAGAGAGAAAGGAGUGGAAUAGAGGGAAGAGAGAGAGUUAUUAACAAAUUAGAGGUAGAACCUAGAGUGGGAGGAGAGAAAAGAGAAAAGGAGACACAGAUCCCUAGGAAAUGAUCCAAAGAAUGAUAGAGAGAGAAGAAAGUAGCAAAAGAGAGAAGAAAAAAAAGUAGAUAUCAAGAGCGAGCAAAAAAGAAAGGGUUAAAGAGGUAAGGUGGAGAGGGGGAGGCAUGCUUUCUAAGCCUUUUUUUUUCCGUUGGAAAAUGCUAAAAAAAAUUAAUGAUAGGUUAAUGCAUUGAGAUCUAUUCUUCAUCAUAUGGCUUGAGAUCUAUUCUUCAUCAUAUGGCUAGGAGGUGGCCAGAUCAGGUCUCAAAUAUCGUUCACCCAGAAAGAGACAUAUGCUUGCCCAUACGUAUAAGUGCAAACUUUUAUUGCCAAACUGUAAAACCAUGUAUAAUUAUAUCUGGAUGCACACAUUGACACAUAUCCAAACUCUGGCCACAAAUCUUUUUGAAGGCCGAGUUUUUAAUACAAUAAUUUUAAAUCUAUCCAUACCCAACAUUUGCCGUACUGUAUUCCUGUCGAAUGCCGAAUGAAUUAUUGUAGUCGGAUCCCUUUCAUAAAUUUUUUUAAAAAAUUAGGCUCUAUCUUUUUCUCUAUUUCGACUCAUACAAAUAUUUGAUUCUUGUUCUUUCUGCUCUCUCCCCCUUAGCCGUGCACGGCACAUGCCCGGUUGCUAGUUUAAAUAAGAUUGAAUCUCGAUCAAGCAACGGAGAAAAAGAAAAAUUAAUUACUCCACGGGAACGUCAUUUGAUCAAUCAUUCAACCAGCACUGCAGGUAAUGGCAAAAAAGUGUUCAAGUGGAUACUGGGACUACAGUGGGUAGAAUGAGAUACAGGAUUUGGUGGUCUUUUUUCUGCUACAACCGAUCCUAUCAUAUGACAUGAUAACAAAAUCUUACACCUACCGGGCAAGUGGUGGUUGCCAUCAUCAUUAGAUCGUUCCCCCGGUCCCAAAAAAACCCAUCAGGAUCCAAUCCCAACUCUCGCAUUCCAUCAAAUCCCAAUCCCGCCCCCAAAAAACCCAUCAGGAUCCAAUCCCAACUCUCGCAUUCCAUCAAAUCCCAAUCCAGAAGCACAAACAGAGAAGGGAAUCCACAGAAAGGGGAGCAAAGCUAAAAUUUCAUUUCAUUAUACGAGAGAUCAGGAACAAGAAAAGGCCAUUCAUGGUCAUCUCCUCACCAUCAGGACGCAGAACAAAACGGAGAAGAUGAAGGACCGAGCGACCGAGGUGGCGGCGUCGAAGACGGUGGCGAACCUCCGCUCUUGCAGCGCCCAGAUCGUCCCCGCGUACAUCCCCACUCUCUCCACCAUCGCCACCAAAAGCCCCAUCAGCCGACCCACACAGAAAAUUCUAGGGGAGAUGGAAUUGGAAUUUGGAGAAAGAGAUAGGGGACAGAGCCAGCUCGGGGAAUUUAUUGUGGUCUCAGAAGAAUUUGGUUUCUUUCGUUUUCGGCAUUCGGAUGCCACGUCAUAGAGCAACGGAGGAUGCGUGAUAUCCGUGAGCGGGGAGGGGAUUUUCCCGGUGGGCGUCGCCGGGGAAACGUUGUUCACGCGAAGGCAACGCGGCAACCGAAGUUACCAGCGAGGAACCUGCGAAGAAAGUUACGCCUCUUUUUAACCGGACAAUAUUAGCCGGUAUUUAAAUCUUUUUGUACGUAGUCACGGAGGGAGACAUAGUAACUUCUUGUGUCUUAAUAAGCAGGGGCCAAACUUGGAGUAAUUCCUUUGUUGGAUUAAAUUAUAAGCUCUAAAGUCACCAUAGCAGUUCAAAAAAAAAAAAUCAUAAAUAUUUCAACAGCUUAUUUUUAUUAAACAAAUGCUGAAAGCAAUGUCUAACUCGCUAAAUGAGACUGUUACCGGCUACUUGUUGGAGUGGUUAUCAGUGAGAAAUCUAAUAGGGAGAUUAC